GGAGCGCAGGCGGGAAGACAAGUUGGAAGUGAAAACCAUGGGCUCAACCCAUGAAUUGCUUUCAAAACUGUUUUUCUUGAGUAGUGCAGAGGUAGAUGGAAUUCCCGGCGUAGCGGUGGAAUGCGUAGAUAUCGGGAGGAACACCAGUGGCGAAGGCGGUCUACUGGGCACCAACUGACGCUGAGGCUCGAAAGCAUGGGUAGCAAACA
This 209-nucleotide ribosomal RNA is filed under the name uncultured bacterium. RNAcentral's name for it is "partial 16S ribosomal RNA". It matches the Rfam family "Bacterial small subunit ribosomal RNA", at positions 566 to 774 of the family's 1533-position model. The record is from RNAcentral.